This 377-nucleotide ribosomal RNA is filed under the name uncultured Deferribacteraceae bacterium. RNAcentral describes it as "bacterial SSU rRNA". It matches the Rfam family "Bacterial small subunit ribosomal RNA", at positions 521 to 896 of the family's 1533-position model. Lineage: Bacteria; Pseudomonadati; Deferribacterota; Deferribacteres; Deferribacterales; Deferribacteraceae. The record is from RNAcentral.
UAAUACGAGGGGUGCUAGCGUUGUCCGGAAUCAUUGGGCGUAAAGGGUCCGUAGGUGUCUUUGCAAGUCGUUUGUUACAUCCACCGGCUUAACCGGUGGCCUGCAAUCGAAACUGCAAGGAUAGAGUUCGAGAGAGGAAAGUGGAAUUCCUGGUGUAGCGGUGACAUGCGUAGAUAUCAGGAGGAACACCAAUGGCGAAGGCAGCUUUCUGGCUCGACACUGACACUGAGGGACGAAAGCGUGGGUAGCAAACAGGAUUAGAUACCCUGGUAGUCCACGCCGUAAACGAUGAGUACUUGAUGUCGGAGGAUUCGACCCCUUCGGUAUCGUAGCUAACGCGUUAAGUACUCCGCCCGGGGACUACGGCCGCAAGGCUG